CCAGUUGGUCAUGUUCAUCUCAACACCUAUUCAUCUUUGCACUACGAGCCAAAGAUAUUCAUUACGUAAUCAUUCAUCUUUGCACUACAUGCCAAAGAUAUUCAUUUGUAUCAUCAUUUAGGACUGAGGAUGAUGAAAAAUAUUUUAAAAAAAACGAAUCCAGUGAGAUUAAAGAUCAUAUACUAAGGAUUCGUAUUACAGUUUAUCCAAGUUCAAUAAUAUUUUGAAAUAACCAAUUUUGAAGCAGAAUUCAAAAAUAAUGAUCAAAACAUGGAUACACUCAAAGAUAGUAAUCAUAAUAGACAACUUGGACAAAAAGAAGAAAAUUUCAUUUUUUAGUGAAUAGUGUCGUAUUCGUGAAUAGUGCCGUAUACGUGAAUAGUAAACCCGACACAAAAAGUUCCAAAUUUGAUAAAAAGUUCAUACCAAUAUUUUCGGCAUAAUGAUAUUGAAGAAAAAUAUCAUUUAAGAAGAAGAUAAUAUCCCUUACCUCAAAAUAUCAGUACUUCUGAUCGAAAUAUCGGUAUAAGGCUGAAGGAAACUUGCACUGAUGAAUAGAAACUCACAAAGUAUCUAAAUACUCACAAAAUACACUAAAUAAUCUAGAGAGAGAAAGAGAGAAAACUUAUUUUUGGUGUGAUUUUCAAUUCUAACUUAGCCCUCUAUUUAUAGGAAAAUGUUAGCACGCCGAAGCAGACUUGACCUGCUGCCUGAUGGCUUUACCUGCUACUAUUCCACCCACCAAAAAUCAGCCAUUUUCCCAAACAACCAAAAGUGGAGCCCACCAAUUCUAGAAUUUUCCACUAAAAUCAUUUAUAACCUAAUUUCUGAAUCAGUCACCUCUUAAAAUUCAUAACAAAUCAUACGUUCAUUUUUAACGGUUCAAAAUUUAUGGACAUGUACUCAACUUAUAUAUGUAUAACAUAUCCAAAAAUUACAAUGAUCCAACGAUCGGUUUAAAAAUUAUAACUCACGCAAUAUAUCUCAAAAACACUGGUUUAAUUUUUAAUACCUCCAUUCCGACAAAAAUACUGAUAAAACACCUCAACAUUAACUCCUUCAUUUUUAACCACAAUAAAUAUAUCCAACAUUUAUAUCCACAAAAAUAAAUAUUUCCUUAUCAUAUGAAUCAAUGAUUAAUUAUUCACAAAUAAUAUUAUAGAAUCACAUUUAUGACAACCAGGCUGUUCCCAGGAAAGAGGAGGCUUUCCAAUAAGGAUUUCUCCUUACUGGCGCGCAAUUAGGUGACCAAAGCUCUCCUUGACAGAACUUUCUAGACAUUUCCAAUAAUGUUAUCUAAUAAUAUUAUUCCAAAUUAUCUAAAUUACUGAUCUGAUAAAGGAGAUACUGUGUAGUGACGAUAAUUGAAACAACAAUAAUAUAAAAUAUCAAUGCAACAAUUAUUGAAUCAAUAAAAUAAAAUAUUGAACAGUAACUACUGUGACAAUUAUUGAGUAGUGCCUUCUUACGUAAGGAUCAAUAAUUCAACAAUACUGUGCAAUACCAUAUGCUACUGUGCAACAACGCGUAUUACUUUACUUUAACCACCGGGUAUUCCAACAGUGUUAACGGUAACAACUAUGCCGUUAUUCAAUUUUGUCGUUUUCUUUAUUCGACCGUUAUCCGUUAUGGGGCCCACAAUUGGCUACGCCAUCAUACGAAUAUUCCCCGACAGAAAGAAUAUUCCACCGACAAAAUGAAUAUUUUAUAACCACUUGAUUAUUUUGCAACAUUUUCACAUUUCACCCAUAACCAAAGUUAUUAUAUCAAAUUAAUACCUUAUUAUUCAAAAUAAUAAAUAAAGGAAAUUUGAUUUUAUUUAUUAAAAAGUUGGGGUCUUACACUAGCAGCCUGGCUUCUCUGCGUUCCUACAACUUAGGUCAUCCCACCGCGGAUUGAACCUCUCGCAUUUGCAGUUUGGCUACCCAUACAUGGGAUCAAACUUCUCAUACCUGUAGUUUAUCCUCAACCUAGGAUUAAAAUUUCUUCUCCCCGCACUCUGACCUGCACAUGGGAUUACACUUUUCCACUCGCCCUGAGGGGCGAACUAUGUCGACCUGAUCUCCUCUUCAAUAGGAGUACGUAUGCAACCAUUUCAUAUGGCCCGGUUGCAAUAAAACAGAAACAACAAAAACAUUUACACCCUUUUCCUUAUAAAAAAAAACAAAAACAAAAACAAAACAAAAAAAACAUUCCUACACCAUUUUUGACAUAUACAGCGUUGAACCUCUUACACCAGGUUCAAACUACGCAGACUUGAUCUCCUCUUCAAUAGGAGUACGUAGGCAGCCAUUCAUAAUUCGGUCUCACCCCCUACCAAAACACAAACCCUUGUUAAUUGGUAUUGGGAUCAUCUUUCAAUCCACUACAUUUCAUUGGCUUCAGACCAAAGGGAUGGAAUUACCUGAACUCCUCCCAAAUAGGAGAUUCGGCGACCAUCUAAGCUGCGGUCAUAUCUUGAAGAGCAACACCAAUCCAUAAGAGAUGGAAUUAACUAGGCUUCUCCUAAAUAGAAUUACUGGCAACCAUCUGUGGUGCGGUCAAUCUCAGAGAGGAAAGCCACACUCCUCUCCACAUUUUCAUUCAGAAACCAGUCCCAAGACACCAAAGAUGGUAGGGAUACAUAAAGAUCGAUGAUCCAUUCUAAAAUAUCCAGAGACAACUCAAUGUCCAUCGACCCAGGAGGAAUUCAGAAUACAUCAGGAUCACAAGCCCCGAAGCAGCAGGCAAAAUAUCAAGCAUGUAGCAAAGCAUAUCUAAAAGGGAAGUGGUCAAAAAUAUAUUUCCCUGCUAUAUAUAUAAUGUUGUUUGAUAUAUACAAUGUAAACUGUACAUGACAAAAUGGCUAAGCUAGUCUGUGCAGGAAAAUACAAGCCCAUCUACAAGUCAGGGUAUAUGCGAGCUAACAAGCCCAACAUGGCGUCCCUCUAAAAAGAAGGAGGUGAAGCUGUGGUCUCCUGUACGAGAAUAUCCAAAAGGCCCUAACAGAUCUGCAGCCAUCUGCAUGGUGACCAUAUGCUCAUCAAUGUAAGCGCUCAUCUUUGCGAUCAUGUCAGUAGUAAGGGACCUCACUGGAGUAUAAUCUGUGACGGCUAUAUCCCGGGCAGAUAUGGCACUAUCCCGCUCGACUAUCACUGCAUCUCUGGCUGAUCUAGCCUCAUCCCGCUCAACAACAGCAUCAUCUCUGGAGCUAAUGUAUCAUCUCUCUCUAAUAGAGUUGCGUCUCUCCCAUUAAGGGCAGUCAGCAUCAUAAAUCGAGCUUGAACUCUCUCAAAGGUCAUCAGAUGAAGACUCUACUCAAAGUACUGUGCUGAAUGCUGAAUCAUAACAGUACUAGUACUGGGAGAAUCUAAAAGAGAUGUUGGCAACCCAGCACCUGGCUCCUCCUCGAUGUGGGAAUAAAUGUCCUCCAUGGGCUCUACAUCAUCUGACUCAUUAUCCGGUACUGUGGAUACUGCCGCAGUCGAUGCAAUCUCCGUCCCCAUCCAUGCAGAAUACUCUACUGAACAACCUGGAUGGCUCACAGAAAAAUCAGCUAUCUCACGCUGAUCCCACCAUACAUACACACGGGAUCGGUCCUCUGCUGAAAGAUAGUGAGAAGUUGAACGCUGACCUAUCGCCCCCUCGAAAGGAUGAAAAUCCUAAAACUGGUCAAGCUACAACAUCACGGCCAGCGGGUGAUAAGUAGUUACGCCCCUAAAACCAGCCAAAGGAAGGUAGUCCAUGCCUGGAGCAUGAGUAAUGAAGCUUUAGGGUGAGCUGAGCCCCGAACACGGCAAUAUGACAAAUGGAUCUCUGAUAUCCGCCAAAAAUAUGGACUAAGACAUAGCAUGUGUACACUCCGAUGGUUGAAAGGAGUAUGACAUGACUAUAUCAUGGGUGAACCAAUACCCAUGUCGUCUAAGAGUGCCAAUCGGUCUCAAAUGUGAUAUAAACCACACAUAUAGCAUGACCGAACUACCCGUGAACACUCAUGUCGGAUAAGUGCAGCAGUAGGUGGCUGACCGCAGGGUCUCUGCUAUGAUCAUCGGUAUAAUGGUAUGACCCUCCCUAAGAGCUAUCACUGCCAUGAUGACUCUGACGUCUAUCUCAUCCAUGUAUCGUGGCAUAUAGACAUACGACAGUACGCACAACAGCAGUAUGUCAACCCUGGCUAGACGCCAAUGAUCCUCCGUUGCGGUGAAAUCCCCGGAAUGUCGUGAAUAACUAUCCUCAGAGCCAAAUCUGUCAAACAGAAAAUGCUGGGAUAUAAUGUGGCUCGAUGUAAGUUCAUCCUGCACUACUCUGUGCCUCAAUCCAGUGAGGGUCAUGAACCGUCGACUCAUGUCCCCCAAAGCCAUAUGUACGCAAGGUCUGUCCAGCGGUAGCAUUGUCAACCGUGCAUACUCCUCUAGAGUAGGAGUCAACUCCUGGGUCCCAAAUCGAAAAACCUGCCUAUCCGUUACCCAAUGCUCUAGCAUGCCAUCCACAAACCCUGUGGGAACCUGAAACAUCAAUAAGGUCAUGGUAUGCUGCAAAAAAUGAUCUACGAUCACCCUGUCUGAUGGUGACAUGAUAUCAUACCACGAUCGCAUACCCGAUGCCACCAAUGAUGGUGGGGUAUGAUCAAUACGGCUAACUGUCGAAGAAGACAUCUGUACGGGCCAUAUCAUAAGACCAUCCAGGUGUCAAUGCUGAAUAUCUCUGGACAUACAUACAUAUGCAUAACAUGAUACAUGUAUUGCAGAUAAUAGAUGGCAAUAUGAUAUAGGGAAUGAAAAAAUUAUGCAUGCAUUCCUAAGUAUAUCAACAUCUAAUACAUCAUCUUUGUACAUCUACAAAUACAGGGAAAUGGGGCAUAGACGCCCUACUACAAAAUAGAGGCCUAUCAAAAGAGAUAGCAAGAAUGGGUCCCACCCCUCUGGCUCGGUCCAGUUCGAGUUGCAAAGGAGUUCUUGCAGACUGAAAAAGUCAAAUCGGGAAUAAAAAUGCUACGCGAUUGAGCAAAACAGCAUACAAUCCUGGUCUUCUCAGAUGGAACUUUGACUCUGUACAUCCCUCAUUGGUAGUCACCUGAACACGAGGUAUACCUUGCCAAUGAUCUCAGUUGUUACAAAUCACAUCUGUCAAUACCUUGUACAGGUCCAAUGCCGCCAACUCCGGGUCAUUACCCUAAAAGAUCAACGUGGAUCCCCGACGGGGGUUACAAUGUAGAUCCCCGACGGGGGUUACAAUGUAGAUCCCCGACGAGUGUUACAACGUAGAUCUCUGAUGGGGGUUACAACGUAGAUCCCCGACGGGGGUUACAACGUAGAUCCCCGACGGGGGUUACAACGUGAAGCCCCAGCAGGGGAUUAAAAUGCACAUUUUAGCCGUUGACACACAUAUCAACAAAGGUCAAGCAGCCUUAACGUUAUCUCAGCCAAUGGCGAUUAAACCUAUUAGAGCUAUAAAGCUAUUCAAGGAUUUCAUGCUCGAUUACUCAUAUUCCCCAGCGGAUCCACGACGGGGGUCACAACGCAAUGUUCCGGUGAUUCACACAUCAGCGAAGGUUAAGCAACCUUGACAAUCUACCCACAGAGUAUCAGCCAUUGAUUCACACGUUAGCGAAGGUUAAGCAACCUUGACAGUCUAUCCCACAAGGUUUUCAUCCGUUGAUUCAUAUGUCGGUGAAUUACACGUCAACGAAGGUCAGGCAUCCCUGACAGCAUUUGCUGUUGGCAGUAAAUCCGACAGAAUCUUGACAUGUCCUGGCGAUACCAACCAAGAAAGGUCAAUGUUAUCAAGGAGGAUCGAUGAUGGAAUAUAUUAUACACAUCCUCAAACAGACCAAGCUUUAUCCCCACAUAUCUUUUACACAUAAGAGGUACAUCUUCAGGAUCAAGUCAUUACCAAGAACCCAAGAAUUUGGUGAUAACCCCAACAUCAACAUCCUAACAGAUUCAGAUUACACAUCAAAUCUGGUCAUCAUAUCCAAUCCCCAGUUGAAGCAACAGGGAGCCAGCAAUCAUCCCCAGCAUGUUGGGCUACAACCCCAUACACAUGCAUCAUACAUUUGCAUCAUUUUGCUACAUAUAGUACCAUGUUUGUCUUGUUGCAUUUCAAGUGUCUAGGAUUCUUUAUCCUACCCAUGCAUUGCCUUGCAUAAGUAUGAUAAAGAGGGGCAUCUAUAGACACUCGAAAUUUUCUGUACACCUGUCACUAACAUUGCAGGAGGACAGAUUCGUCUUUCAAGAGGAAACCCUGGAAGACAGUUCAUAACCAUUCCAGAUACUAUCGGAAGUUCAUCAUCAACCCCGGAACACACACCAGGAGUAACAAUUCCAACCUCGGAUAUAACCCUGAGGCAUACAGAUCCAAUUCCGGAACACACACCGAAUAAGACCGAUUAAUCUCAGAGAUAACCCCGAGGUAUCCAGUCUCAGUCCCAAUCAUGGGAAUAGCUACCAACCUUGGUGAUCACGCCAAGGAAUGCAGUUUAGGCGAUAACCCCAGAAAUGCUUGUUUUAAAUGAAACCAGCUUCAAUCUCGGCACUCACAACGAGAUACUCAAUACCAACCCAAAGAUAACACCAGGAGGACAGGCACACCUCAGAGAUGACAUUGAGGACCUUCAACAAAUUGCAGUAGUCCAAUCUCAGCGAAGCCCUGAGCAAUGUCUACUUUAUCAGCCCAAACCGGCGAUAACACCGGUGAAGGACAACAUCGUCAUCUCACCAACACAAGGCCACGUCACGUCGUCUCAAAAUUUCAUACACAUCUCUACACAAUGAUGUCCCACAAGAAUCAAGGAAAACUAAUCCCGAGUGACUAUUGUGCGGGGUAACGGAUGGAAUUUGAAGCUUGAAGACCGGAGGGCAUCGUCCCAUCUUCAAUGACUUCGUACAAACUCUAAUCCCAUGCCAUUGUACAACUCUUGACAACGGCGGUCCAAAAUAGGUCCUAUAUACCUCAAUCAGAUGCCCGGAUUUCAAUUCUGAAAGUUCGAGCAGACAUUACAGUGUCCGAGUACAUAUACUACGAGACGACCCGACCCGAGAAACCCGGGGCAACCCGGGUAGCCUCUGAUACACCUGCGGCCCAGCCACAGGUACAUCUGUGGCUCCACCCUCUAUAAAUAGAGGGCUUGGGGUGGCCAUUUUGAAAGAGAAAACGGGGAGGAAGCCCUGCCCAAUUUUCUCUGUACUUACCCCAUACGGAGUACUUUCUCAUUUUAAACACAUGUGAGCUCAUAUAUAGCUACUUUUGUACCUACAAAAGUCAGUGUUUACCCAAUUUAAAGAUAUAUGAGUCUUCUUUGGAAGUCCACUGUAAGCCUUCUCACACACUUUUAAGCCUUUCUCUUCAUCUUUGCACACACCCUUCUUCACGUUGAGAGUCGUGCUGCAUGCAUUUGCCCAGACUUCGGUCCGUGAUUUUAUUUCAGUUUGUAUAUAUAUAUAUAUAUAUAUAUAUAUUAUAUAUAUAUAUAUAUAUAUAUAUAAAUAUGGACUAACAUUAUCGAGUUAUGCCUCGAUUGAGCCUAGACUUCGGUCUGGAGCAUUUAUUUGCUUAUAUAUAUAUAUGAACUGUGUGUCGAACUUUGUUCGAUGAGCCUAUACUUCGGUCUGGAGCGUUUACUACAUUAAUAUAUAUAUUUAUAUAUAUUAACUGUGUGUCGGACAAUGUUCGAUGAGCCUGGAUUUUACAUCUGGAGCGUUUACUUGAUUUUAUAUAUAUAAACUGCGCGUCGGACUCUUUUCGAUGAGCCUGUAUUUUACAUCCGGUGCGUUUAUUCGCUUUUAUAUAUAUUUAUACUUAUAUAUAUGAACUGUUGUCGAACUCGGUUCGAUGAUCCUGGAUUUUACAUCUGGUGCGUUUAUUCGCUUAUAUAUAUAUAUAUAUAUAUAUAUAUAUAUAUAUAUACUUAUAUAUAUGAACUGUUGUUGAACUCUGUUUGAUGAGCCUGGAUUUUACAUCUGCUGGGUUUAUCGCUUAUAUAUAUAUACAUAUAUAUAUUUUCGUCCCUCCUGGAGGUCAAUUCGUAGUGGUUGAUCGCUUUUACAACUUUCUUUACGUUUCGUCCUGCCUAGAGUUCACUUCGUGGCAGUUGAUUGCUUUGUACAACUUUAUUUACAUUUUGUCCCGCCUGGAGUUUCCUCCGUGGUGGUUGAUAGCUUUACAACUUUAUUUACGUUUCGUCCCGCCUGGAGUUUUCUCUAUGGCGGUUGAUAGCUUUUACAGCUUUAUUUACAUUUCUGAUCCCCCAUAGAGGUGCUUCGUGGUUGGUGAUCAUGUCUGUAUAUAUAUAUAUUUACAACUUUUAUAUAUAUACAUGCUUACUGCUUUCAUACAAAUUGCGGUAUCAUGUGCGCCUAGGAAUCAUGUGAUCACAGAUUCAGCCUAUUGGAUCUAGAUUCGGUUCCCUUGAUGGACAUUUUCAGCUGUAAGCAGCUUGUAAAUUAUUUUGCGAUGUCUGAAUUUCCUCAGAUGGUUUCCAUACCCACGAGGAAGUCGGCAUUAUUAUGUACAUUAUUUUCGUACGGAUGCCUCAGAUCUGUAAAAUAAAAUCAAUCAAGCCGAACACUUAAUAAAAUGGGAGUGUAAAAGGUCUCAAUUAAUAUUGAGCAUCAGGGUUUGAAAAAACCUUUUUUAUAAAACCACACUGCUAUAUCUUGUUAAAACUGAAUUUUUACAUAAAUUCAAACCCUAUGUAUAUUGGUGCGAAUGAGGCCUCACACUACUUCCAAAUAACAACACAUUAACCCACACACACACACAUUCAGAUAAUAGUUUCUUGAAAAAAGGCGGUCACCGUGGUAACAAGAAUGUCGGGGGGUGCCUAACACCUUCCCUCCGCAUAACCAAGUCCCGAGACCCUAAUGAAUCUCGGUUUCACCGACCCGUUUAGCAGUGUCACAUCACUGGGUCAAUGUGCAAACCUUUUCUCGGUUGUGUUGGUACAACCAUUUAAAAAACCAACUGGCGACUCUUUAUAGUCCAUCGUCGACAUUAUACAUGUCGGACCUUUUUCACUUGUUUUUUCAAACAAAUCUCACCUAAAAUGUGACGCCCCCAAAAUAGGUAUACAUCACCCAUUCUGAGUCGCCAAAUACAUGGUACAUAAAAACAAAUACAACUUCAUUAAACUGUGAGUUUAAAUAUAAAUAGAGAGUAUAAAAACUCAGAAGGAGUCCUCAUUACAAUUAUUGAUACACUAUUUUAAAAAUAGUGAGGACUGCUAAAACAACUUUCUAGAACCAUCACUCCGAACCCCGACUAGUUCAUGCUAUGUUCUCACCUCUUGAGAAGAAAAAUAGAACAAAAGGGUGAGCUCAACUAGCCCAGUAAAGAAUAUUAUUACUAAGAUAAUAUACAACAAAUUAUCAUUAGUCCAGGGAAUAAUCUAAUAAAAUAUAAUAGACAACAAGUUUUAGAUCAACAACUGCAGCGGAAAAUAACAAUCCAUUAGGAGAGUCAAGUAGAGAAAUAAUUCUACUAUCUUCUAAGAUUUAAAAGUCCAUCAUCAAUAUUUUAUCCCUGUAACAUCAAUCAAUAUACAUCUUGAAUCAAAUAUUAAACUUUGCACUACAGGCCAAAGAUAUUCAUUUGUAUCACCAGUUGGUCAUGUUCAUCUGAACACCUGUUCAUCUUUGCACUACGGGCCAAAGAUAUUCAUUAGGUACUCAUUCAUCUUUGUACUACAGGCCAAAGAUAUUCAUUUGUAUCAUCAUUUAGGACUGAGGAUGAUGAAAAAUAUUUUAAAGAAAACGAAUCCAGUGAGAUAACAGAUCAAAUAUCAAGGAUUUGUAUUACAGUUUAUCCAAGUUCAAUAAUAUUC
Molecule: long non-coding RNA, 9799 nt
Filed under: Panax ginseng (ginseng)
Lineage: Eukaryota; Viridiplantae; Streptophyta; Magnoliopsida; Apiales; Araliaceae
Description: long non-coding RNA (PGIN_LNC015152)
Source: RNAcentral